RNAcentral lists this ribosomal RNA (253 nucleotides) under uncultured bacterium. Its description in RNAcentral is "partial 16S ribosomal RNA". It matches the Rfam family "Bacterial small subunit ribosomal RNA", at positions 524 to 776 of the family's 1533-position model. The record is from RNAcentral.
UACGGAGGCGGCUAGCGUUGUUCGGAAUUACUGGGCGUAAAGCGCGCGUAGGCGGACCUGCAAGUCGGGGGUGAAAGCCCGAGGCUCAACCUCGGAACUGCCUUCGAUACUGCGGGUCUCGAGUCCGGGAGAGGUGAGUGGAAGUCCUAGUGUAGAGGUGAAAUUCGUAGAUAUUAGGAAGAACACAAGUGGCGAAGGCGGCUCACUGGUCCGGUACUGACGCUGAGGCGCGAAAGCGUGGGGAGCAAACAGG